AAGUUGGAAUGUGAGAAUUGGAUGAGACCAAAUCUUCAGCUUCAGAUUAUGCAGUGCACAAGGUUUGGUUUCCUCCAAUGUCUCAUCUUCAAACU
RNAcentral lists this microRNA precursor (95 nucleotides) under Leersia perrieri. RNAcentral's name for it is "MIR2275 microRNA precursor family". It matches the Rfam family "MIR2275 microRNA precursor family". The record is from Rfam by way of RNAcentral. Lineage: Eukaryota; Viridiplantae; Streptophyta; Magnoliopsida; Poales; Poaceae.